UGUUGCAUUUGUUAAAUCAUAUUCAUUUUCCUUUCAGCUUAGUUUGGAAGUUAGAAUAAGUUAUUUAAGGACAAUUUAUUCGGUACAAGAGCUUUCUAGUGUGAGUACAAGAUAUAAGUUUGAUUUUUUUCUUUUUAAAAGCUUUUGAAUUCAUAAUUUGUUAGGAUAACAAAUCUCAUCAACCAGAUAAUUUAUUUAUUUUUAUCUACCGAAUAUAUAAAUUAUUUUUUAAUAAAUUGUGAAAAUAUAUCGAACAAAAUAUUUAUCAACCGA
This 273-nucleotide long non-coding RNA is filed under the name Ananas comosus (pineapple). RNAcentral's name for it is "long non-coding RNA (ACOM_LNC035554)". Lineage: Eukaryota; Viridiplantae; Streptophyta; Magnoliopsida; Poales; Bromeliaceae. The record is from RNAcentral.